ACGUGAGCAACCUGCCCCUGACUCUGGGAUAAGCGCUGGAAACGGCGUCUAAUACUGGAUAUGUGACGUGACCGCAUGGUCUGCGUCUGGAAAGAAUUUCGGUUGGGGAUGGGCUCGCGGCCUAUCAGCUUGUUGGUGAGGUAAUGGCUCACCAAGGCGUCGACGGGUAGCCGGCCUGAGAGGGUGACCGGCCACACUGGGACUGAGACACGGCCCAGACUCCUACGGGAGGCAGCAGUGGGGAAUAUUGCACAAUGGGCGCAAGCCUGAUGCAGCAACGCCGCGUGAGGGACGACGGCCUUCGGGUUGUAAACCUCUUUUAGCAGGGAAGAAGCGAAAGUGACGGUACCUGCAGAAAAAGCGCCGGCUAACUACGUGCCAGCAGCCGCGGUAAUACGUAGGGCGCAAGCGUUAUCCGGAAUUAUUGGGCGUAAAGAGCUCGUAGGCGGUUUGUCGCGUCUGCUGUGAAAUCCGGAGGCUCAACCUCCGGCCUGCAGUGGGUACGGGCAGACUAGAGUGCGGUAGGGGAGAUUGGAAUUCCUGGUGUAGCGGUGGAAUGCGCAGAUAUCAGGAGGAACACCGAUGGCGAAGGCAGAUCUCUGGGCCGUAACUGACGCUGAGGAGCGAAAGGGUGGGGAGCAAACAGGCUUAGAUACCCUGGUAGUCCACCCCGUAAACGUUGGGAACUAGUUGUGGGGUCCAUUCCACGGAUUCCGUGACGCAGCUAACGCAUUAAGUUCCCCGCCUGGGGAGUACGGCCGCAAGGCUAAAACUCAAAGGAAUUGACGGGGACCCGCACAAGCGGCGGAGCAUGCGGAUUAAUUCGAUGCAACGCGAAGAACCUUACCAAGGCUUGACAUAUACGAGAACGGGCCAGAAAUGGUCAACUCUUUGGACACUCGUAAACAGGUGGUGCAUGGUUGUCGUCAGCUCGUGUCGUGAGAUGUUGGGUUAAGUCCCGCAACGAGCGCAACCCUCGUUCUAUGUUGCCAGCACGUAAUGGUGGGAACUCAUGGGAUACUGCCGGGGUCAACUCGGAGGAAGGUGGGGAUGACGUCAAAUCAUCAUGCCCCUUAUGUCUUGGGCUUCACGCAUGCUACAAUGGCCGGUACAAAGGGCUGCAAUACCGCGAGGUGGAGCGAAUCCCAAAAAGCCGGUCCCAGUUCGGAUUGAGGUCUGCAACUCGACCUCAUGAAGUCGGAGUCGCUAGUAAUCGCAGAUCAGCAACGCUGCGGUGAAUACGUUCCCGG
Molecule: ribosomal RNA, 1250 nt
Filed under: Microbacterium oxydans
Lineage: Bacteria; Bacillati; Actinomycetota; Actinomycetes; Micrococcales; Microbacteriaceae
Description: bacterial SSU rRNA
Rfam family: Bacterial small subunit ribosomal RNA
Source: RNAcentral